Molecule: unclassified non-coding RNA, 240 nt
Filed under: Hevea brasiliensis (rubber tree)
Lineage: Eukaryota; Viridiplantae; Streptophyta; Magnoliopsida; Malpighiales; Euphorbiaceae
Source: RNAcentral
GAUGGAGACGGAGGCGGUGGCGAUUGGUAAAUAUAGGGUGGCGGAGGGGAUGAAGACGGAGGAGGUGGCGAUUGGUAUAAGUAAGGUGGCGGAGGAGAUGGAGAUGGAGGCGGUGGCGAUUGAUAAACAUAGGGUGGUGGAGGUGAUGGAGAUGGAGGCGGUGGCGAUUGAUAAACAUAGGGUGGUGGAGGUGAUGGAGAUGGAGGCGGUGGCGAUUGAUAAACAUAGGGUGGUGGAGGU